RNAcentral lists this ribosomal RNA (459 nucleotides) under uncultured bacterium. Its description in RNAcentral is "bacterial SSU rRNA". It matches the Rfam family "Bacterial small subunit ribosomal RNA", at positions 21 to 523 of the family's 1533-position model. The record is from RNAcentral.
GGCUCAGAGCGAACGCUGGCGGCAGGCUUAACACAUGCAAGUCGAAGCGGGCGUAGCAAUACGUCAGCGGGCAGACGGGUGAGUAACGCGUGGGAACGUACCUUUUGGUUCGGAACAACACAGGGAAACUUGUGCUAAUACCGGAUAAGCCCUUACGGGGAAGAUUUAUCGCCGAAAGAUCGGCCCGCGUCUGAUUAGCUAGUUGGUGAGGUAAUGGCUCACCAAGGCGACGAUCAGUAGCUGGUCUGAGAGGAUGAUCAGCCACAUUGGGACUGAGACACGGCCCAAACUCCUACGGGAGGCAGCAGUGGGGAAUAUUGGACAAUGGGCGCAAGCCUGAUCCAGCCAUGCCGCGUGAGUGAUGAAGGCCCUAGGGUUGUAAAGCUCUUUUGUGCGGGAAGAUAAUGACGGUACCGCAAGAAUAAGCCCCGGCUAACUUCGUGCCAGCAGCCGCGGUAA